CUCUGGAACAGAGCGAACUCAAAAAGCCCAUCGGCGCAGGGCGCGCUUCGCAGCCAAGCCCUGCCACUCUCCAGAGACUGUGAGGUGAUUCUCCUUCGUCACUGCUUGGACCAGGAACCACAGCCCUGCAGUGGUUGGCAGUUUUCCUCAGCUUUGCAAGAGAGAGAGAGAUUUGGUUGGAAUGAAACCUUGCUCUACGUACAACCUGCUUGAGAUGCAGCAUUGAAAGUCCUGGAAGGUGGCACAGGCAUCAGGAAGUACGAAAUUUGAUCUACAUUACAAAUGGAAUCAGAAAAUGUCUUGGAUUUUGCAUACGUGUAUCAACACUUCCAAUCCAGUGAACUGUGUUGAGAAGAGUGAAAAAACCUAAGUGCUGUUUCUUGCACAAAAUGAAGACAGGGAGCUACAGGGAGAGUACAUGGGCAAAUUCCUUUUUUCCUAAACUCUAGAGAAACUAAUGAACAGGCAAACC
This 472-nucleotide long non-coding RNA is filed under the name Corvus moneduloides (New Caledonian crow). RNAcentral describes it as "lncRNA (ENSCMUG00000017863.1)". The record is from RNAcentral. Lineage: Eukaryota; Metazoa; Chordata; Aves; Passeriformes; Corvidae.